UCUCCCAUCUCAGGCACGCCAGGCCUCCCCUCUCCUAGGCCCGCCUUGCACGCCUCAGUUCCCUCUCUGCUUCCACACACACGUCUCUCCCAGACACCGUCACAUGUAAUAAUCACUUUUUUCAAAUACAGCACAGGUCAUUUCUUUACUUUUGGGAAAUAAUACCACAGCACUUUCAGAGUUACAGUCAGGCCUUUAUUUCAUUCUCCGGGCUCCUUGUCCUCCCAUGUUCUUCAGCUCAUUCCUGGCGCAGACAGCAUUUCUUUAUCCCAAACCAACAGGUGCCAAGACGGUCAUGAUUUUCUGGGCAGUAAAACCAUUUACACUCGGCCUCUCUUUUAUUGCACUCCUUCUCUGAGUCUACAACCUGGACCUGGGCUGUGGAGAGGAAAAUCUUUGAGUCACACAGUCAGGAGCAACAUUCCCUGUGAAUUCGGGGUCAUGACAUGUGCACCGCAGAGCCGGCAGGAGAGGCUCCUUCUGCAGGCGCCUCACUCAGAAACCCUACGGAGCCCCCGCUCCUUCUGUUCUGCUGCCACUGCUGCGUUGGUUCCUGGCAAGCAGGACAGCCUCUGCUCUAAAGAGGGCAGGUACUGAAGUGUCUGCCCUGAAUGCUGACUCAAGGCUCCCCUGCCUGCCCCCCAGCGUCCAGCCCCUGCUCAAGAUGCUCAAGGGGACUCUGUGCAGCCUCAUGCAGCCUGAUGAAGACCAACCCACAAUGCACACCCCUACAUGCCCUGGGCACAAAAGGGCAGGAGAGAUUGGGCCAGAGGAACUGGGCAGAAAGAGCAGACAGGGGUCAAGGGCCUUCCGUCCUGCCAUGUUUUGUGCAGCAACCAGGCCUCAGGAGGGGCUGGCAUGUGGGCCUGUCACCGUGGGCUGUCAGACAGAGGCCACAAAAAGUAAAAAGGCAGGAAUCACAGAGGGGGAACACACCUGGCAUGUCUCUGCUGCUCUGCGAGGCCCUGCCUAAGUUCUCCCUUGUUUGCCCUCAACCAGACUCUGUAUGAUUCUGGGGUUUGUCUUCCUUUUCAGGAGAAGACAAAGUUGAGUCUGAGGACAGCUCGGUGACUUGUCUAAGUACACACUGCGAGUCACCAUUGGAGCUGAGAAACACACAAUGGUAUUUUGGCUCCUGGGUUCAGCUCUCUCUUAUAUCCUGGGCUCUCUCCCUGGCACGGAAGUUGGACAGCAAAUGAGCCCUGGGGCCGGCACCUCCUACGUGGUCAUUAUCCCCUUGGCCUGUUCCAAAGCCAGCCACACCUGCCAGCCUGAAAGCCUGGCCUGGCCUAGUGGUGUUGUCUCUAGCUACUCACUGGGUCCAUGUCAGGGAAAUGACUCCAUCCUUAACCUGAGAGAUACUGAGGACCAUGUUUCAGUCCAUUAAGAUCAAGCUAAGAAUCUCCCCUGAGACAUUCAUUCUUUGGUUGAUGCUCUCCAUGAUGCUCAGAUUUAUUACUUAUUUCCAGAUCCUGAGCCACUCCCCAAUACGGUCUGGUCCCCAUUCCCUGGGCAUGAGACCCCGAAACCCCACACCAGCCUGGUUUCAGAGCUCACCUGUGGCAAAGUGAGGAAAAAGGAUGAAGCAGGUCAGGAGCACGAAGCAGAGACACCGCAUGGUGAAUGCCGGCUGGACCCUGAGCAGCAGGAGAAGAUGAGGAGCUGCUCCGAGACUGGGACCCAGCGAGGCUGCUGCAGGUGGAAGGAGCCUCUAUUUACAAGGCUCCUAGGUGCUUGCACAACAUUUGAUUCUGGAACCUCACCUGCUGUGAUCCUGAUUACAACACAACUAUUGACUUUUGUGCAUGAGACGCUGUCCGUUACACAACCCCUCUCCCUCAGGCACACCGCUCAGGUGGGAAUGGCCUCACUUCCCGCUCCUGUGUGGGAUGCUU
RNAcentral lists this long non-coding RNA (1895 nucleotides) under Equus asinus (donkey). RNAcentral's name for it is "lncRNA (ENSEASG00005033141.1)". The record is from RNAcentral. Lineage: Eukaryota; Metazoa; Chordata; Mammalia; Perissodactyla; Equidae.